RNAcentral lists this ribosomal RNA (865 nucleotides) under uncultured bacterium. RNAcentral's name for it is "bacterial SSU rRNA". It matches the Rfam family "Bacterial small subunit ribosomal RNA", at positions 56 to 918 of the family's 1533-position model. The record is from RNAcentral.
UGCAGUCGACGGCAGCACGGACUUCGGUCUGGUGGCGAGUGGCGAACGGGUGAGUAAUACAUCGGAACGUACCCAGUAAUGGGGGAUAACUAGUCGAAAGAUUAGCUAAUACCGCAUACGCCCUACGGGGGAAAGAGGGGGAUCGCAAGACCUCUUGUUAUUGGAGCGGCCGAUGGCUGAUUAGCUAGUUGGUGGGGUAAAGGCCUACCAAGGCGACGAUCAGUAGCGGGUCUUAGAGGACGAUCCGCCACACUGGAACUGAGACACGGUCCAGACUCCUACGGGAGGCAGCAGUGGGGAAUCUUGGACAAUGGGCGAAAGCCUGAUCCAGCAAUGCCGCGUGCGUGAAGAAGGCCUUCGGGUUGUAAAGCGCUUUUGUCUGGGAGCAAAUCCUUGUGGCUAAUACCCACCGGGGAUGAGAGUACCAGAAGAAUAAGGACCGGCUAACUACGUGCCAGCAGCCGCGGUAAUACGUAGGGUCCAAGCGUUAAUCGGAAUUACUGGGCGUAAAGCGUGCGCAGGUGGUUUGUUAAGCGCGAUGUGAAAUCCCCGAGCUCAACUUGGGAAUUGCAUUGCGAACUGACUGACUAGAGUACGGCAGAGGGGGGUGGAAUUCCACGUGUAGCAGUGAAAUGCGUAGAGAUGUGGAGGAACACCGAUGGCGAAGGCAACCCCCUGGGCUGAUACUGACACUCAUGCACGAAAGCGUGGGGAGCAAACAGGAUUAGAUACCCUGGUAGUCCACGCCCUAAACGAUGUCUACUAGUUGUUGGGCUUUUUCGGAGCUUAGUAACGCAGCUAACGCGUGAAGUAGACCGCCUGGGGAGUACGGUCGCAAGACUAAAACUCAAAGGAAUUGACGGGG